AUGCGUCGUUCCACGGGUGGGGACAAAAGAGAGAGCAGUUCUUUUUUCCCAACGCAACCUCCUCUCCUUCUUUCCCAUCCCGACCGGCGGCUAGGGUUCCCCGGCGCCGCCACAGCUACAGCCACCGGCGCCAUCCCUGCUCGUCCAGCGCUGGCCACUGGAGAAGGUGGACGCCGUCUCCGUCUCCGUCGCCGUCUCCGUCGCCGCCUCCGACAUCGACCUCAACCUCGACCGUGUCUGCGGCAGCGGCAAGGACCUCCGCCCGUAGGUCUCCUUCUCGUCAAGCGAGCGCUCGGGACGAGCAGGAUCUCAAUCUCGAGUGGGGGACAGACGCGGCCACGGGCAGCCGCCGGGGACGCCUCUGCAUCGUCGGAGGCGGAAUUAGGGGAGCAGCAGGCGGCGAUUCUGGUGGUGGAAACAUUGGGUGUCCUCGGCCAGUGCUGGUUGUCCUCGCUGGCAACCUCGCCGGCUCCAACCCGUCCGUAG
RNAcentral lists this ribosomal RNA (486 nucleotides) under Triticum aestivum (bread wheat). RNAcentral's name for it is "partial small subunit ribosomal RNA". The record is from RNAcentral. Lineage: Eukaryota; Viridiplantae; Streptophyta; Magnoliopsida; Poales; Poaceae.